GACGAACGCGGCGGCGUGCCUAAUACAUGCAAGUAGAACGCUGAAGGAGGAGCUUGCUUCUCUGGAUGAGUUGCGAACGGGUGAGUAACGCGUAGGUAACCUGCCUGGUAGCGGGGGAUAACUAUUGGAAACGAUAGCUAAUACCGCAUAAUAGCAGUUAUUGCAUGAUAACUGUUUGAAAGGUGCAAUUGCACCACUACCAGAUGGACCUGCGUUGUAUUAGCUAGUUGGUGGGGUAACGGCUCACCAAGGCGACGAUACAUAGCCGACCUGAGAGGGUGAUCGGCCACACUGGGACUGAGACACGGCCCAGACUCCUACGGGAGGCAGCAGUAGGGAAUCUUCGGCAAUGGACGGAAGUCUGACCGAGCAACGCCGCGUGAGUGAAGAAGGUUUUCGGAUCGUAAAGCUCUGUUGUAAGAGAAGAACGAGUGUGAGAGUGGAAAGUUUCACACUGUGACGGUAUCUACCCAGAAAGGGACG
RNAcentral lists this ribosomal RNA (483 nucleotides) under Streptococcus mitis. RNAcentral describes it as "bacterial SSU rRNA". It matches the Rfam family "Bacterial small subunit ribosomal RNA", at positions 28 to 495 of the family's 1533-position model. Lineage: Bacteria; Bacillati; Bacillota; Bacilli; Lactobacillales; Streptococcaceae. The record is from RNAcentral.